This 77-nucleotide transfer RNA is filed under the name Noviherbaspirillum pedocola. RNAcentral describes it as "Noviherbaspirillum sp. DKR-6 tRNA-Ser". Lineage: Bacteria; Pseudomonadati; Pseudomonadota; Betaproteobacteria; Burkholderiales; Oxalobacteraceae. The record is from RNAcentral.
GGGUUAAAAAGCAAAAAGGCAUAAGAAAAGGACUCAUAAUCCGUUGGUGCCGUGUUCGACUCACGGGAGGCCCACCA